RNAcentral lists this non-coding RNA (27 nucleotides) under Homo sapiens (human). The record is from RNAcentral. Lineage: Eukaryota; Metazoa; Chordata; Mammalia; Primates; Hominidae.
UAUCUUCAAAACCUUGAGUUUGGCCCC